GAUGAAGAACGCAGCGAAAUGCGAUAAGUAGUGUGAAUUGCAGAAUUCAGUGAAUCAUCGAAUCUUUGAACGCACAUUGCGCCCGCCAGUAUUCUGGCGGGCAUGCCUGUUCGAGCGUCAUUUCAACCCUCAAGCACAGCUUGGUGUUGGGACUCGCGUUAAUUCGCGUUCCCCAAAUUGAUUGGCGGUCACGUCGAGCUUCCAUAGCGUAGUAGUAAAACCCUCGUUACUGGUAAUCGUCGCGGCCACGCCGUUAAACCCCAACUUCUGAAUGUUGACCUCGGAUCAGGUAGGAAUACCCGCUGAACUUAAGCAUAUCAAUAAGCGGAGGA
Molecule: unclassified non-coding RNA, 332 nt
Filed under: soil metagenome
Description: partial contains 5.8S ribosomal RNA, internal transcribed spacer 2, and large subunit ribosomal RNA
Rfam family: 5.8S ribosomal RNA (bases 1-120)
Source: RNAcentral